RNAcentral lists this ribosomal RNA (397 nucleotides) under uncultured bacterium. RNAcentral describes it as "partial 16S ribosomal RNA". It matches the Rfam family "Bacterial small subunit ribosomal RNA", at positions 523 to 918 of the family's 1533-position model. The record is from RNAcentral.
AUACGAAGGGUGCAAGCGUUACUCGGAAUUACUGGGCGUAAAGCGUGCGUAGGUGGUUGUUUAAGUCUGUCGUGAAAGCCCUGGGCUCAACCUGGGAAUGGCGAUGGAAACUGGGCGACUAGAGUGUGGCAGAGGGUAGUGGAAUUCCUGGUGUAGCAGUGAAAUGCGUAGAGAUCAGGAGGAACAUCCGUGGCGAAGGCGACUGCCUGGGCCAACACUGACACUGUGGCACGAAAGCGUGGGGAGCAAACAGGAUUAGAUACCCUGGUAGUCCACGCCCUAAACGAUGCGAACUGGAUGUUGGGUGCAAUUUGGCACGCAGUAUCGAAGCUAACGCGUUAAGUUCGCCGCCUGGGGAGUACGGUCGCAAGACUGAAACUCAAAUGAAUUGACGGGG